UACUAAUAACGCUACCGCGUUACUAAUAAUUAUUGUCUGUGCAUUCCUCUCCCUUUGUCCCAUCUACCUUGGUACUAAAGAAGCAAGUUGGCGGCAGGUUAUAGGAAUAAUCAUAGGCGGUUCGAGGAUUGUGGAAGCAGGUGGGCGAGGGAGAGAAUAAAAUGGCGCGCGAAGCGCGCCGCGAUUUUGACCACGCCCACUAUUUCCCGCUGCGCGGAACUACAUUUUCCCGUAAUAUUAGGGGCCUCGCAAUAUUUAAUUUUUCAACCAUUGUCAUCCUCUGUGCAUGUGCCGUGAGUGUGACUUCGUGAUUGACUAUGAGACUUUAGUCUCGCUAGCCAGACCAUUCCCCAGCCUACAGCCAUUUACGUCCACCCCAAUGACUGUAGGCUGGGGAAUGGUCUGGCUAGCGAGACUAAUCAGACUCAGCAUCACUAGAAGUAGAAGUAUCACAAGGAAGAUCAUAAUCAUUAGUCUCUAACUCUGUGAAAUCAACUGACACUAGAUCUGGCUCAUCUAUAGAAAUUUCAGGAGGCAAGAAAGAAUUAUGCUGACGCUUGGUUGCCAUUGCAAGAAAUGAUUACAAAAUUAACAUUCAAAAUAUUCAUGAAAAGUUAAUUUUAAUAACAAUAAUAAUUAAUUUUAAUGAUUAUGAUGACUUCCUUUUCCUGUCAAAACUUCAGGGUGGGCAUUGCCCCUUAAUGCCCACCCCUGGAACCGCCUAUGGGAAUAAUGGCAGAACUGUAAUGCCUCUGUCAAUAUUAAUGGCUAAAAAAUCAAACGUCAUUAGUCUCGUAACCUGCAAGUGAUUGUGACGAGUUGGACUAUUUCAAAUGGUUAAAGGUUUAUUUUCAACGGAUAUAAUAGUAGAUGAAGGAAUAUCAAACCCACAUGUGGAAGUGUCAACACCGGAGGAAGUUACAGACACUUCUAUGUUACAGUUUUGGUGUCCUAAGACUGGUCUUGAGAUUGAAGAAAUUCCUUAUGACCUUUUUUUUUAACACUGAAAAUAACUAAUAUAUACAUAAUAUUUUGAUUCAUCAUGAUACUUAAUGAUAAAAUCAAUGAUACUUUAGUUUAAUGAUAUUUGAAAUGAUCAUAAAA
This 1104-nucleotide long non-coding RNA is filed under the name Amphimedon queenslandica. Its description in RNAcentral is "uncharacterized LOC109589978, transcript variant X1". The record is from RNAcentral. Lineage: Eukaryota; Metazoa; Porifera; Demospongiae; Haplosclerida; Niphatidae.